Molecule: ribosomal RNA, 253 nt
Filed under: uncultured bacterium
Lineage: Bacteria
Description: partial 16S ribosomal RNA
Rfam family: Bacterial small subunit ribosomal RNA
Source: RNAcentral
UACGUAGGGUGCGAGCGUUGUCCGGAAUUACUGGGCGUAAAGAGCUCGUAGGUGGUUUGUCGCGUUGUUCGUGAAAACUCACAACUCAAUUGUGGGCGUGCGGGCGAUACGGGCAGACUGGAGUACUGCAGGGGAGACUGGAAUUCCUGGUGUAGCGGUGAAAUGCGCAGAUAUCAGGAGGAACACCAGCGGCGAAGGCGGCGCUCUGGGCUGGAACUGACGCUGAGGAGCGAAAGCGUGGGGAGCGAACAGG